GACCACCUUCAUCUUCGCCAUGGCGAACGCCUGCCCGAUGCAGUUCCUGCGGGUGGGAGUGGGGACUGUGACUGCGCCCAGGAUCCGCAUUUGGGCCCCAUCACGCCGGAAACCUGGCCCGGGAUCCUCAACCGCACCCAGAUCAGCCUGAGAGAUAGAGAGGGGCUGAGCAUGCGUGGGACCCCCCUGUGGGUUUGCAUGUCCCCCAGAGCCUGGGCCAGACUCCAGCUCCCAGCUCAGACCAGCAGAUGGAGGAGGGGAUUCUGAGCACUCUGCGGACCCUCUAGGACCUACUCACCCCCAUUCUAUGGACAUUUUCCCAUAAACUGUGAAGGAAUGGAGGGAAAGAGAACUGGAACUGGGACCAUCUGCAAACUUCCCCCUUUUUCGACCCUCGCACCUAUCACCCCAUCCCCAUACCAGACACAGGUGGCCCUUACCUGGGUCCCGCAGAGAAGGGAAUAAAAGCCAGAGGUGACCUCUCCUUGCUGUUCUCUGAGUUGAAGCGGAAGGGGUUGUAGACCUGGAGUUUCAGAAUUAGCAGUCCCCUGCGGGCUGCAU
This is a long non-coding RNA of Homo sapiens (human), 561 nucleotides long. The record is from Ensembl. Lineage: Eukaryota; Metazoa; Chordata; Mammalia; Primates; Hominidae.